GAACAGGCUACGCCGGCUACUUCGGAGAACUAGCUGCUGGAUUAUUCUGUGUCCCCUCCCACUCUCCCGCCCCAAGUCUCUCUUCACCCUUCUCCCGCCCUUGCUCGUGCAGCCAUGGCGGAGUCAUCGGCGGCCACUCAGUCUCCGUCAGUCUCCUCGUCGUCCUCCGGGGCCGAGCCGUCAACGCUUGGCGGCGGCGGCGGGAGCCCUGGAGCCUGCCCCGCCCUGGGGGCGAAGAGCUGCGGCUCCUCCUGUGCGGAUUCCUUUGUUUCUUCCUCUUCCUCUCAGCCUGUAUCUAUAUUUUCGACCUCACAAGUGGGAUUGAGCUCUCUUUGCUCUGAUGAGCCACCAUCAAAAAUUAUGACUUCCUCCUUUCUUUCAUCUUCUGAAAUAUAUAACCCUGACCCUACAACACCACUUGGAAGUGAAACAUUAGGCAGCCAUCUUGUAGCUAAAGACGGAAAAGAUCCCUUGGUUCUUCUAGAUAAGAAAACUCUGGACUCACCUCAGGGGACCAACAAGGACAGAGUAGACACUCCGGUUUCUCUUGCAGCUGACAUUCCUUGCAGCCACCCUUCUAUUCCAGACAGUUUCCCAGAACAACCUACUUUUCUUUCAAAGGAAACUGAUCCAACAGAAGAGUGGGUAGUUAAAAACCAAGAACCCAAGAACCCAAGUGAAGUUCCAAGUGGAGAGGACAGAAGUGCACUGGAUCUUGGGCAGCGUAAGGCAGAACACAUUUGUACACAUUCCUUGUCUCCAUCUGAACCUGCAGUAGCCAGUGUAGAAAAAGAUUCUCCUGAGUCACCAUUUGAAGUAAUUAUUGACAAAGCAACAUUUGACAGAGAAUUUAAAGAUUUGUAUAAGGAAAGCACAGAUGAUUUGGGUGGCUGGGCAGCUCACGGUGACAGAGAAUCCCCAGCAGAUUUAUUGGAAAUGAAUGACAAAGUGUUUCCACUGAGAAAUAAAGAGGCAGGGCGUUACCCAUCCUCUGCACUGCUCGGUAGACAAUUCUCACACACUACAGCAGCACUGGAAGAAGUGUCUAGAUGUGUGAAUGAUAUGCAUAACUUUACUAAUGAAAUACUGACUUGGGACUUAGAUCCCCAAGCAAAACAACAGGCGGACAAAUCACCUUGCACCACAGAAAGUACAGGACUAGACAGGAGUGAACAUCGCUCAGAAAUUCCAGUUAUAAAUCUUAAAACAAGCCCUCAACAGAAAAUGCCUGUAUGUUCUUUUAAUGGGAGCACUCCCAUUACUAGAUCCACAGGUGACUGGACAGAAACAUUUACAGAAGGAAAACCUGUAAAAGGCUACCUCAGCUCCACAAAAGAAGCUGGUGGCAAAGGUGUACCAGACAGUUCUCAGCCUAUCUCAGGCUCUGGAGCAGCCACAGUGGAAGUGACUUUACCUGACCUGAGGGGUACCUGGCCUAACUCUGUGCUAGGGGAAGUCACAGAGGUUGAUAGUUCUGGGGAAUCUGAUGACACAGUAAUAGAGGACACCACAGAAAAUCCCUCAGUUAAGAACAACAAAGUUUUGCCAGAAAAAUCUGACUCCCUUCCAAGUGCUGCUGUAAAAACAAGUGAAAGGGAAAACAAAGAGACUACCAG
This 1616-nucleotide long non-coding RNA is filed under the name Rattus norvegicus (Norway rat). RNAcentral describes it as "long non-coding RNA NONRATT003533". Lineage: Eukaryota; Metazoa; Chordata; Mammalia; Rodentia; Muridae. The record is from RNAcentral.